This 496-nucleotide ribosomal RNA is filed under the name uncultured bacterium. RNAcentral describes it as "partial 16S ribosomal RNA". It matches the Rfam family "Bacterial small subunit ribosomal RNA", at positions 28 to 506 of the family's 1533-position model. The record is from RNAcentral.
GAUGAACGCUGGCGGCGUGCCUAAUACAUGCAAGUCGAGCGAACAGAUGAGGAGCUUGCUCCUCUGACGUUAGCGGCGGACGGGUGAGUAACACGUGGAUAACCUACCUAUAAGACUGGGAUAACUUCGGGAAACCGGAGCUAAUACCGGAUAAUAUAUUGAACCGCAUGGUUCAAUAGUGAAAGACGGUUUUGCUGUCACUUAUAGAUGGAUCCGCGCCGCAUUAGCUAGUUGGUAAGGUAACGGCUUACCAAGGCAACGAUGCGUAGCCGACCUGAGAGGGUGAUCGGCCACACUGGAACUGAGACACGGUCCAGACUCCUACGGGAGGCAGCAGUAGGGAAUCUGCCGCAAUGGGCGAAAGCCUGACGGAGCAACGCCGCGUGAGUGAUGAAGGUCUUCGGAUCGUAAAACGCUGUUAUUAGGGAAGAACAAAUGUGUAAGUAACUAUGCACGUCUUGACGGUACCUAAUCAGAAAGCCACGGCUAACUACGU